This 480-nucleotide ribosomal RNA is filed under the name uncultured bacterium. RNAcentral describes it as "bacterial SSU rRNA". It matches the Rfam family "Bacterial small subunit ribosomal RNA", at positions 29 to 506 of the family's 1533-position model. The record is from RNAcentral.
AUAAACGCUGGCGGCAUGCCUAAUACAUGCAAGUCGAACGCACCAGCAAUGGUGAGUGGCGAACGGGUGAGUAACACGUAAGUAACCGACCCCAAAGACGAGGAUAACGGUUGGAAACGACCGCUAAAACUGGAUAGGACGAGAGAGCAGAAGCUUUCGCGUUUAAAGGUCCUGCAAGGGACUGUUUUGGGACGGGCUUGCGGCGCAUUAGCUAGUUGGUGAGACAAUAGCCCACCAAGGCGACGAUGCGUAGCUGCGCUGAGAGGCGGAACAGCCACACUGGGACUGAGACACGGCCCAGACUCCUACGGGAGGCAGCAGUAGGGAAUUUUCGGCAAUGGGGGGAACCCUGACCGAGCAAUGCCGCGUGAAUGAAGAAGGUCUUCGGAUUGUAAAAUUCUGUUAUCGGGAAAGAACACUUUGACCAGGAAAUGGGUUAGAGCUGACGGUACCCGAUGAGAAAGCCCCGGCCAACUACGU